Lytechinus pictus (painted urchin) is the source of this 6809-nucleotide RNA transcript. It is a transcript of the gene named putative methyltransferase NSUN7, with no coding region annotated. The record is from RefSeq and is a predicted model, not a curated record. NCBI's taxonomy places the organism in Eukaryota, Metazoa, Echinodermata, Echinoidea, Temnopleuroida, Toxopneustidae. The transcript has 13 exons.
AGAGAUAUGACGUCAUCAAACUUUGUGGAAGGUUGAGUUUUAGAAAGUCCGGGGACCGAUCUUUAACUUUAGUUUAAUAGCAGAUUAUCAGUAUAAUAAACGUUUUGAACUAACAUCUUGAACCAGUUGGAUCAACCAUGACCUGAAAUAAUAAAGAAGUGAUAAACUGAUAUGCAGAACGUUAGCGCAGGAAGUUUAACAACAGGUUUCAGCAGGCAGCAUCUCGCCUCCUCCAUUCCAGCUCCGCCCAGCGCAUCUGCCAAAUCUUCCUCGCGGAACGCAUGGGGGAUUUGACUACGCCGGGUACCGUAUGAUGCUGAGUCAGUGAGUGUUCCUUCGCAUAGUGCCAUAGAAAACCCCCGAGUCUGAGCGUCAAUAAACCAUGGCAUUUGAGACUGAGACCAAAUAGUGUACUAGUUGGUGGAAAUCCUAGCCAGACCUGUUAUACGAGCAUCACGUUGCCCUUGACAACCUACCAAGCUGUGACUCCUGAUAUUGUGCGCACUGGGUUCUGUAUACAGGCUUGAGCACAAACACUGGAUAAAAUCCACAGUGAUAUCUCCAAUACUGUCAGUGAUCAGUGUACUUUACGAAGGCAAUACCAACAUGUUUGCUCACCCUGCAUAUCUGAUUCUCCCUGAUGCAAACUCAGAGUAAAUGUCCUUGGCAGGCGCACAGAGCCCCAACCACUCAACACUGCGAUGCUAAUUUUGGCCUUCCGCACCAGGAUCUUAGAUAGCGAAAUCAAACAUUGACUUGGUAAACAUUUUCCUGUCCAAUAGCAAUCAUGGCCCUGUGGAGUCCUCGGCUGGGCCAGAAAGGCAGCUCAUUUGGGAACAUACCGUCCCCUACACACAACCGGCGGCAGUUCUCGCCACAGAAGGUGUCCAGGUCUUGGCACAGCUCCGGUGUCGACAUGGAGAGCAACGGGAACCUCCUUGAUGGAACAAUCUUGGCUAGUCUGGAGUCUUUAGAGAACAAUAACAUCACAAGUCAUCUCAUUUACCACUAUGCCAGUCAGGUGUUUAAUGGAUUGUCUCCGGGACCUAAAUCAGACAAAAUUUCCUAUGAGAAGGACGUUGAUGAGACAAAAACUAUUCCAGUGAUCAGCGUCAAAGACGCCAGAAUUAAGAGGAAAAUCUAUGAUCUUGCCUUUGAAACUUUGAAAUAUCAAGCUCUGUUAGAAGAUGUACUUAUGGACAGUGGAUUUUACAGUUACGAUGCAUCAGCUGGUGAGAAUCAUAGUAUGAUCAUGGUAAUUCUAUGUGACAUGGUCUACCGCAAGUUUGCCAAGCGAGCGCGACGUCAACCAGAGACGUGCAUCCCGUACGUUCAGGAGGUGGAGGAAGACAUGUUACGGUACACCACAAAACUAAACGCUGCCCUCGCCAGGAACCGCAUCAAGUACCAGGCAGCAAGCAUAGAGAAUCUACUGCCAGCGACGGUCAGGGAAAGGGAGAAAUGUGGAUCGCAGCUGCCCUGCUAUGCGUGGAUUAAUCAACUUUCGAUAAGCGUUCAAGAUGCAGUUGAAGAACUUCAGGAGGAAGGCUUCAGGUUGGUGAGCUCAAUAGACAGAAUGGUAGAUAGUCAUUCCUUUGUUACCGAUCAUCACUGCUCCAAUGUACUCAUGUUCCAUGCUUCGGCCAGAGAAGAGAUUCAAGAAUCUGAGCUGGUCAGGUCAUCCAAACUUAUUCUGCAGGAUAAGACAUGCUGCUUAGGCCCCCAUUCAGUGAAAGCCAUGCUGAACGAAGGGGAUGACAUCAUUCAUACAAACGUUGGGAAUGGCUGGACGACGGCACACCUAGCCACGUUGACCAAUCAGGACAACACUACCAUCUACGCAUUCGGUGUCAAAGACGACGAGCAUCUGGAGAUGUUAGAGGCACGCAUGGGAAGGCUACGAAUUCAUAAUAUAAAGUUCAUCCGGGAUGACUUUCUAACUGUGCAGCCGAACGAUACCAAAUAUAAAGGCGUCAAGGUCGUGAUGGUCACACCCAAGGAUUCAAGAUCAGGGAUCAUCAACCCUGUGGAAUACAUUUUACAAGAAGGAGAAGAUCCAAGUAUUUUGAGAGAACUUUCCCAAGAAGGACAAGACACAGAUAGGAUAGAUGAACUAGCACAGGAGCAUAUGGACCUCAUGAAACAUGCCUUGAAAUUUUACAGAGUCCAAGCGGUAGUCUACGCCACCACGUCAAUCAUGAAGGAAGAGAAUGAGAACGUCGUCGCCAAAUCUGCCGAGUUCACCAACUCAAAGAUGAGUUCCAAGAAUAACCCCUACCGGCCGGUGCCCCCCGUCCUGCCCCUCACCCCGCACGACCUCGAGCUGCAGAGCUCGGGCAAGUUUCUCAGGAUGGAACCCUCAAACAUCAUGGGAGGCUGUUUUGUGGCUAUUCUCAGCAGAGAGGAUGAAGCUAUGAGUGCUGCUGAUGUGCUGGCCAGGGCUGCUGCCAAGGGCCUGUGUGACCUACCAGACUCCAAGGAGGAGAAGAAGAAGCGGAAGGGGAAGGGUCAGGCUGCAAACAAGAAGUCCAGGCAGCCCAAGACUAUGGCGCAGAAGGUGGAACUGCCCAAGGAAGCCAAGUCCGGCAAGCAAAAGCCAGUCAGGACAGCGAAAUCCGCGGACGGUAUGAAGCAGCCUACCAAGAGGAGCCCCAAAGCCAAGCCCAGGACCCGCCACGAUGCCUGGAUGCACAUCAGUUCACAGCACCACCGCCUCAUGCUCUCGUCACCUCCCUAAAAGCCAAACACUGAACCUGAAGCAAUAUCAACAUGCAUGCAUGGGUGCCAUGUUUGCGCAUCAUUUCAAUCGCAAGGAAUCAAAGAUGCAGACCAUGGCCAGGUCCCAGUGCAAUGUCCCCCAGGCCCUCGAUAAACAACCCAGGGGAGUACCCCUUACCCAUUCAACCAUCAUCCGGAUCCAACCAAAGGUGGAAGUCACCCCCAUGCACAAGAAGGUCAUCAACCACCCGAAACCAUUCCUGUAAAUGACACCUACGCAUGAACCAGGUCCCAGUGUAUAGUAUCUUAGGCCCUUUGAUAAACAACCCAGGGGCGUACCCCUUACCAAUUCAACCAUCAUUCGGAUCCAGCCGUAGGUGGAAGUCACACCCAUGCACAAGAAGGUCAUCAACACUUACACAUACUUGGAUGAUGUUUCAUAUCGCUGUUUGUAUUGUUACAAGCAAUCUUAAGAACGAUUGGUGAUCCUUUCUUACACCUGUAGAGCAAAAUCAACACCAUUGAAGCAUACCGGUAUACAUUUUAACAUGAAGGAUUGCCAAUCGUUCAUAAAGUCAUUCGUACAGUUGUUGGUAAUAGGUUACGAACAGCUUUAUUAAACACUGACCCACCAACUGGCUUUCCCUAUCUGAUACUUGUAAGGAGAGUCCAAUGUUUGGUUGUACAUUUCAUAUACAUGUAUUUGUGAAAAAAAAAACUGUCUUUUAAUUCUAAUGAAUAGGACAUACAGCAAUGUCCCUUUUUCAGCCUCUUUCUUCCCAUUUCCCAUUUUCUUGGGUUAUAGAGGGUGGGCAGGUGAGACCCAUAUAUUCCAAGCCUUCCCAUUGGAUUUAAUCUUUGAGACCCCGUCUUUGAGAACUUCCCUAACAUUGUGGUUUUUUAGGUAAGAUUUGUUGAAAAUGGCUAUUCGUUUCUACUUUUUCCCCAACUCAGGUCAAUUUUUUCAUUCAGAGCCAUUAAUCAUGGUCGCAUUAUGACAUCCAAAUUCAAUGUGGAAUGUUUUUUUUUUUUGGGGGGGGGGGGGUUUGUUGCUUUUUUUUAGAUUUCAGUCCAGUUUUUAAAUGGUGAUUAAUUGUGGAAUGUUUUUUUUUUUUUUUUUUUUUGGGGGGGGGGUUUGUUGCUUUUUUUAGAUUUCAGUCCAGUUUUUAAAUGGUGAUUAAUUGUAGAUACUUUUAGGGGCUUUCGCAAUUGGAUGCGCGACUCUUUGCGAACAUUUUGAUCCUGUGCAAAUAGAAUGCAAGCAAAUGGUGAUGUGAACGAUGGUGCGGACAAUUGUAAAAUCCCCGUUUUGCAUUAAUGUUCAAUUCACUCAUUGAAAGAUGUGAUUUUAACCAGCUGAAUGAGUGGCUGCUUGUCCAGACUUAACAGGUGUUAAUAUUAACUUUGUAGAAGUUUGAAUGAAUAGAUAAAUAGUUUUAUUAAUUCAUAAAAUUGUCAUAAUUGUGUAAAGAUGUUCAGGCCGAGUCCACCCCAAAAAUGAAUUGUAAAUAAAGAAAAAUUAAACAAGCAUAACACUUAAAAUCAGAUUUAAAAUGAAUUUUUUUCAAACAUUUUAUUUAAUGUUAUGCUUAGUCUUUAUUACAAACCAGUAUAAAUGAAUUCUGGUUGGUGUGUGCGAAUGAGGGAACCCAUUCAUUUUGUAUAUUGGUCUAUGAAAAAUGGAAUACAGUAGGCUCUUCAUAAGUUGCCUGAAAAUUAGCUGGUAGCCUUCAAGAAGCCAGUGAGACCUUUCUUGCAAGUGACGGCAACCUUUUUCAAAAUGGCGGAUGUUCAUGUUGCACAUGGCACAGCCCACAUGGAUGAAAGUGCUGUUACAUACUACAUAGAUAGUGACAGUUGAUAUGUGAUCAUAUGAAUUAUUUAACUAAAAGUUUACCAGCGGAAUAUCACUAUUAUAUUUUCGUUGAAAUCAAGACAAUAUAGGAUUGUUUUAUUCACUCUCAUGCAAACUGUACUGUAGCUAUCACUACUGAACUUGACUUUGAAACAGUCUUUUGAUUCUUGUAUUUCUGUGAGGUCUCUUUGUGCUUUGAAACAAUUUUUCUAUUGAUGAUUAUUGAUUAUUUUAAUAUGAUUCAUUCGUGAUAGAUCCUUAUUAUCACAGGUUCAUGGGUAACUCAUUCUUCAAGUGCAUUUCUACAUAAUAUCUCCUUGCAACUCAUGUGUGCCUUUCCAUAUAUUUUAUUUUAUGUUUGUAAAAUUGCAUUUAUUCAUAUACAGUAUAUUUCCACACAUUUUUAAGCGACUCCUUGGCGUGAAUAUUUUUGAAGGAAAAUAUUGGUACACGUACAUUUGUGCUUUUUGUUUUUACAAAUUUCUGCAUUUAUGUUUGAUAUACAUGUAUUAUUGGGUUUGAAAUAUUCACUAUUACUGUUUUUAUAUACCAUUGAAUGUAAACUUACAUACAGUAAUUUAUUUUAGAAGUUUUUUAGAUAAUGGAAAUAGGAUUUUUUUUUUUUUUUUUUUUUUGGGGGGGGGGUGAAUUGUUUAAGAAAGUAGUUGGUCAUCUUGGCAUGGUAAUUUACAUGGUUGCUUUUGUAUUAACCAAUGUUACCCAUUUGUAUAUACCCCCCCCCAAAAAAAAAAAAGGAAAUGUAUUCAAAUUAAUUGUAAAUUAAUGAGUAAAUAAAUGAAUAAGAAGAUGAAAGAUUAUUAAUAAAUAAAUGACUGAAUAAAUAAGUGAAUUGAUAAAAUAGCAAAUGUUGAAUUAAUAACAAAAGUAUGUAAAAUAAAAGAUUUAAAUUUUUAGAAUUACACUUUUAAGGAUAUUCGUCUAGACAUCCAUAAUGUCACAAUAUUGCAAGAUUUCAAAGACAUGAGAACAUUUUAUGUACUAUGAAAAAAGUAUAUGUUCCUGUAAUUGGAUUAGUUAUUUGUGGAGUUUAACCCCAAAUAGCCUAGGAGUCACAUUAGAGUGUGUUUGGAAGGGAUAGAGGUGCUUGCUGAGGAUUUUUUUAACUCUGUGCACACUGAACUAAUGCUGUGAGGAUGAGAUCCGAGACAGAAAGUUGCCCUUUUUAAAUAUUAUUAUUCUGUUAAAAUCCCACCUAAUUGAUGCAGUUUUCAUAGUUGUGAUAAAAUGAUUAUUUUAUGAAUGUUAUCUGAGCAUUACAGGGCUUACCUUGAAAAAGUGGUGUUGCCUUCAAUAGUGCAAUGUUGAAGGAAAGUAAACAUCGAUGGGAUUGUAGAAUUUUAUUGUAAAUGGCAACAUUGGGAAAGAGUGAAUAUUGAUUUCAUCAGUCGGGAUUUGAGAGAAAACAAGUUAAUUUAAUGUCAUUUGAAGAAUAAUGGUGACUACAAUAUCAGUGGUUGCUUUCUUUCUCACUGCUUGGUUGUGGCAUGUACUGUUUCAAGUUUUAACAUGAUUGUUGUAGCGAUGUAUUAUCUUGUAGAAUGUUAUUUCGUGCAUAACUUUAGGAAAAUUUGCAAUAUGUUUUGCAUUUUCAUGACCAAAGUUGUAUAUCUUUAAUCGGGACUUGAUUCUGUUCACAGUAAAUAUAGGUAUUUUAUCACUCACUUACUGUAUUUCUUGGGUAUUUUUGAGGACUUUUAUUUGUUGUGGUAAUUAAUGUAACUUUAAAUUAGAUUAGGCAAUCUUAAUGUAGCACACAUCAGACGUUAUGCAAUAGUUGCAAUCAUUUUAUUGUCCGUUCAUCUUGCCGAUGUAUUAUUUCCAAUAUGGUUUCAACAAUGUCAUCUCUCAAAACAAAGUAAGAACUUAAUCCUUAGCAAUUUCAUGAAUAUUUUAUGUUAGUAAUUGUGUUAUCAUAUAGAAUGGCUUGUAUAGUGUUGUUCUGUGGUUAGAAGUGUGGACUUUAAGGUAAAAGGUCUUGGGUUCUAACCAACCCCCUUUUUUUCUUAGUCAGACUUCAAUUCAUCUAUUCUUCACUCUUUAAAAGGAAAGUGAACUUCAAAGAGGUGUACCCCACAGUCAUAGACCCAUGCCUUUUCGGACAGUGUUUAUACAUAUACAUGUACAUGUACCCUUCAAUAAAAAAAAAAAUAUAUAUAUAUAUACUGUGAGUUUUGGUUUAAAAAAUUAAAAUUUAGCAACCAACAUUUUUCUGAUG